UCGAGAGGCUUUGGCAAUGGGGGAAACCCUGACCAAGCGACGCCGCGUGGAGGAUGAAGGCCCUUGGGUUGUAAACUCCUUUUGUCGGGGAAGAAAUACGAUCAGGUGAACAAUCUGGUCGCUUGACGGUACCCGGCGAAUAAGCUCCGGCUAACUCCGUGCCAGCAGCCGCGGUAACACGGGGGGAGCAAGCGUUGUUCGGAAUCACUGGGCGUAAAGGGAGUCUAGGCGGUCAGGUAAGUGGAAUGUGAAAUCCCUCGGCUCACCCGAGGACCUGCAUCCCAAACUGCCUGGCUUGAGUAUGGGAGAGGAUGAGGGAAUUCCUGGUGUAGCGGUGAAAUGCGUAGAUAUCAGGAGGAACACCGGUGGCGAAGGCGCUCAUCUGGCCCAAUACUGACGCUGAAGCUCGAAAGCUAGGGGAGCAAACGGGAUUAGAUACCCCCGUAGUCC
This 450-nucleotide ribosomal RNA is filed under the name uncultured bacterium. Its description in RNAcentral is "bacterial SSU rRNA". It matches the Rfam family "Bacterial small subunit ribosomal RNA", at positions 355 to 796 of the family's 1533-position model. The record is from RNAcentral.